GACGAACGCUGGCGGCGUGCUUAACACAUGCAAGUCGAACGGUAAGGCCCUUCGGGGUACACGAGUGGCGAACGGGUGAGUAACACGCUGGUGAUCUGCCCUGCCCUUCGGGAUAAGCCUGGGAAACUGGGUUUAAUACCGGAUAGGACCACUGCCUGCAUGGGUGGGGGUGGAAAGCUUUUGCGGUGUGGGAUGGGCCCGCGGCCUAUCAGCUUGUUGGUGGGGGGGUGGCCUACCAAGGCGACGACGGGGAGCCGGCAUGUAAGGGUGACCGGCCACCCGGGGCCUGAAAUCGGGCCCAGACUCCUACGGGAGGCAGCAGUAGGGAAUAUUGCUCAAUGGGCGGAAGCCGGAUGCAUCGACGACGCGUUGGGGAUGACGGCCUUCGGGUUGUAAGCCGCUUUCAGCACCGACGAAGCGCAAGUGACGUUAGGUGCAGAAGAAGGACCGGCCAACUACGUGCCAGCCGCCGCCGUAA
Molecule: ribosomal RNA, 478 nt
Filed under: uncultured bacterium
Lineage: Bacteria
Description: partial 16S ribosomal RNA
Rfam family: Bacterial small subunit ribosomal RNA
Source: RNAcentral